GACGAACGCUGGCGGCGUGCUUAACACAUGCAAGUCGAGCGGAAAGGCCCUUCGGGGUACUCGAGCGGCGAACGGGUGAGUAACACGUGAGUAAUCUGCCCUUGGCUUUGGGAUAUCUACCGGAAACGGUGGCUAAUACCGGAUACGACAACCGUCUGCAUGGGCUGGUUGUGGAAUGUUUUUUCGGCCAGGGAUGUGCUCGCGGCCUAUCAGCUUGUUGGUGGGGUAAUGGCCUACCAAGGCUUCGACGGGUAGCCGGCCUGAGAGGGUGACCGGCCACACUGGGACUGAGACACGGCCCAGACUCCUACGGGAGGCAGCAGUGGGGAAUAUUGGACAAUGGGCGGAAGCCUGAUCCAGCAACGCCGCGUGAGGGAUGACGGCCUUCGGGUUGUAAACCUCUUUCAGUACCGACGAAGCGCCGAUGAUGGUGGUGACGGUAGGUACAGAAGAAGCACCGGCCAACUACGUG
RNAcentral lists this ribosomal RNA (472 nucleotides) under uncultured bacterium. Its description in RNAcentral is "partial 16S ribosomal RNA". It matches the Rfam family "Bacterial small subunit ribosomal RNA", at positions 28 to 507 of the family's 1533-position model. The record is from RNAcentral.